RNAcentral lists this ribosomal RNA (300 nucleotides) under uncultured Thermoflexus sp. Its description in RNAcentral is "bacterial SSU rRNA". It matches the Rfam family "Bacterial small subunit ribosomal RNA", at positions 496 to 795 of the family's 1533-position model. Lineage: Bacteria; Bacillati; Chloroflexota; Thermoflexia; Thermoflexales; Thermoflexaceae. The record is from RNAcentral.
GCUAACGAGUGGCCUGUAGCCGCUGUAAUACGUAGGCGGCGAGCGUGGUCCGGAUGUAUUGGGCGUAAAGGGGUCGUAGGCGGCUUGUCGCGUCUGCUGUGAAAACGCGGGGCUUAACUCCGCGCGUGCAGUGGGUACGGGCAGGCUAGAGUGUGGUAGGGGUGAUUGGAAUUCCUGGUGUAGCGGUGGAAUGCGCAGAUAUCAGGAGGAACACCGAUGGCGAAGGCAGGUCACUGGGCCAUUACUGACGCUGAGGAGCGAAAGCAUGGGGAGCGAACAGGAUUAGAUACCCUGGUAGUC